CUGGUGAUAGCGUGCUUGUGGCGACUCCACAGCAGAAAGCAACCAUGUGCACCAACAUGCCCCACGGUGGUGGUCCCUGGAUAUGACAACCUAACACAGCUAGAGGACAAACUGGACACUUUGCGCAUGCAGAUCAUGGGCAAUUUUUUUCAAAACCGCAACCGGGGCCCAGCGAUGUGUUGUCAGCCCAGG
This is a long non-coding RNA of Talpa occidentalis (Iberian mole), 192 nucleotides long. RefSeq lists it as uncharacterized. The record is from RefSeq and is a predicted model, not a curated record. NCBI's taxonomy places the organism in Eukaryota, Metazoa, Chordata, Mammalia, Eulipotyphla, Talpidae. The transcript is spliced from 3 exons.